UUGAACGCUGGCGGCAGGCCUAGCACAUGCAAGUCGAGCGGAUGAAGGGAGCUUGCUCCUGGAUUCAGCGGCGGACGGGUGAGUAAUGCCUAGGAAUCUGCCUGGUAGUGGGGGAUAACGUCCGGAAACGGGCGCUAAUACCGCAUACGUCCUGAGGGAGAAAGUGGGGGAUCUUCGGACCUCACGCUAUCAGAUGAGCCUAGGUCGGAUUAGCUAGUUGGUGGGGUAAAGGCCUACCAAGGCGACGAUCCGUAACUGGUCUGAGAGGAUGAUCAGUCACACUGGAACUGAGACACGGUCCAGACUCCUACGGGAGGCAGCAGUGGGGAAUAUUGGACAAUGGGCGAAAGCCUGAUCCAGCCAUGCCGCGUGUGUGAAGAAGGUCUUCGGAUUGUAAAGCACUUUAAGUUGGGAGGAAGGGCAGUAAGUUAAUACCUUGCUGUUUUGACGUUACCAACAGAAUAAGCACCGGCUAACUUCGUG
RNAcentral lists this ribosomal RNA (483 nucleotides) under uncultured bacterium. RNAcentral's name for it is "partial 16S ribosomal RNA". It matches the Rfam family "Bacterial small subunit ribosomal RNA", at positions 30 to 507 of the family's 1533-position model. The record is from RNAcentral.